GAUUAUUUCUAGCAUUACUUCUAGGGCAAAGUCUUGACCAGCAGCAUAAGAGAAAGAAAACCUCAGCAGAUUCCUCAUGUUGCCUGGCCUCUUGUGGAGUCACUGGAGUGAUAAGCUCUGUGAACUGGUAAACACUAAUGCUGGGACCUGGGCCCCUUUGCUGCAGUGCUGCAAUGCUUGCACCUAGAAACACCUCUC
Orcinus orca (killer whale) is the source of this 198-nucleotide long non-coding RNA. RefSeq lists it as uncharacterized. The transcript is spliced from 3 exons. The record is from RefSeq and is a predicted model, not a curated record. NCBI's taxonomy places the organism in Eukaryota, Metazoa, Chordata, Mammalia, Artiodactyla, Delphinidae.